Molecule: long non-coding RNA, 763 nt
Organism: Pogoniulus pusillus (Red-fronted tinkerbird)
Lineage: Eukaryota; Metazoa; Chordata; Aves; Piciformes; Lybiidae
Exons: 3
Source: RefSeq, a predicted model, not a curated record
AGCAGGACUCAAGUUUGACGGAGCUGUCAAGCUCCCAAAGCAGAUUGAAUGGAGUGAUCGCUGCUCGCCGCCGCCAUCCCCCCGCCGCAGACGGGCGCCGAGCCGCAACCGUGCUUCUUCCCCUCUGCUCCUCGCCACGCUCCUCGAGCUCCUCCGCGGCACGACGGCCCUGCAGCCGUAGCCGACGUCCCCAAGAAGGUGCUGCUGUUAUGAUCUGAAAAUUAGGAUUUUCACUUACCAGCUCAGGAGCUGAUUAUCAACCAAGUCAUUUGGCCAGCUUGUCCCAUAGCUGUACAGACUUGAGGCUUGUCUGAUCUGUGAGGUGUGUUGUAAGGAUGUUCUUUACAUUAAACUGACUAAAGGCAGAGGCAAGCAGAGGAACAUGCAGUGCCCACGGGGGCAUGACGGACAUCACCUGUGUCACACAGCUCAUCUGCAGAGCUGAUGUAGGCUCUGUUUAUGCCCCUAAUCCUGGGAUGGGAACACAGGGAAGUCUCCUAAUUGUAUGUGAUUUCCUUGGGUGCCACCUCUCAGAUCCAGGACAAGGAUGUGACUGGGGACAUUGAGACCAAUCUAUAUCUUGGGACUGUCCUAGCCUUGCUAGCAGGAGCUAGUGCAGGAUACUCAGGCAUCCUGCUCAGUGGAGACACCUGUGACACACAGGCUUUGGAGAGGACAGAUAUUUCAAUGUCUUAUUCUGGGGGCAAGACCACUCUCCUCCCACUUCUUCUCUUUCCAUCCUCUCGAAUUCCCACAGCACUUU